This 473-nucleotide ribosomal RNA is filed under the name uncultured bacterium. RNAcentral describes it as "bacterial SSU rRNA". It matches the Rfam family "Bacterial small subunit ribosomal RNA", at positions 28 to 507 of the family's 1533-position model. The record is from RNAcentral.
GAUGAACGCUAGCGGCAGGCUUAAUACAUGCAAGUCAAGGGGGUAGCAAUACAACCGGCGCACGGGUGAGUAACGCGUACACAACAUACCAUAUACUGGGGUAUAGCUUUGGGAAACUGAAGGUAAUCCCCCAUAACAUUGCGAGAGGGCAUCUGAUUGCAAUUAAAGUUUUGACGGUAUAUGAUUGGUGUGCGUUUGAUUAGCUUGUUGGUAGGGUAACGGCCUACCAAGGCGACGAUCAAUAGCUGGCGUGAGAGCGCGACCAGCCCCCCUGGAACUGAGACCCGGUCCCGACUCCUACGGGAGGCAGCAGUGGGGAAUUUUGGACAAUGGGGGCAACCCUGAUCCAGCAAUGCCGCGUGAGUGAAGAAGGCUCUCGGGUUGUAAAGCUCUUUUGUCAGGGAAGGAAAGGUCGUGGCUAAUAUCCCCGGCUCAUGACGGUACCUGGAGAAUAAGCACCGGCUAACUACGUG